GGUCAAAGUAAUAAGAGUCUAUGGUGAAGGCCUAGGA
RNAcentral lists this ribosomal RNA (37 nucleotides) under Borreliella afzelii. RNAcentral describes it as "partial 23S ribosomal RNA". The record is from RNAcentral. Lineage: Bacteria; Pseudomonadati; Spirochaetota; Spirochaetia; Spirochaetales; Borreliaceae.